This 643-nucleotide long non-coding RNA is filed under the name Homo sapiens (human). RNAcentral describes it as "HSALNT0379124". Lineage: Eukaryota; Metazoa; Chordata; Mammalia; Primates; Hominidae. The record is from RNAcentral.
GGCCAGGUCGCGGGCGGAGGCAUCGGACAGGCGGGAGGACAGGCUGGCGGGGUCCGGCUUCUCCAGCACCUUGGCAAUGACGCAGGCAGACAGACGAACGGGGGCCUCCCGGCUUCUCAAAUCACACCAGGGGGAGCCUGGAUCCAGGACGCUGUACUGAACAAGCUCCCAGGGGUGUGGGUGCUGUGACUGCCUGGGGAUCCUGGGUCACCUCUCCCCACCCCACUCUGAUUGGGCCCAGGAGAGCCCAGAAGCUGCAGUCGCCUGGAGAAGCCGGAACCCAGGCACUGCCGGUCAUCGUGCCCAGCCACAGGCUCCUGCGAAGCUCCACAAAGGUCACUCUGCCGUGUCAGCGCUCAGUGGAAGCAAGGACCUGGAGCAGCCCCCCAAAGGAAACCGAGGGCAACCAGCAGCCGGGGUGGGCCAAAGGGACUCUGGUGAGGGCCAGGGGCUGCCCGGCUGCGUGAGGUGGGGUGCCUUUGGCGGCCCCUCCAAUGUCAUGACCCCACAGGAGCGAGGGGGACAGAGGAGGCUCAGGCUCAGCUGGCAUCUUCCUCCUCAAAGAUGGGAAAUGGCUUUGGGGUAGCACUGGCACAAAAGGAGCCCGGUGGUCCCGGGGCGGGGUGGGCCUGGCUGCGGGGCC